RNAcentral lists this ribosomal RNA (482 nucleotides) under uncultured bacterium. RNAcentral describes it as "partial 16S ribosomal RNA". It matches the Rfam family "Bacterial small subunit ribosomal RNA", at positions 28 to 507 of the family's 1533-position model. The record is from RNAcentral.
GAUGAACGCUAGCGGCAGGCCUAAUACAUGCAAGUCGGACGGGAUUCAGGAGCUUGCUUCUGAUGAGAGUGGCGCACGGGUGCGUAACACGUAUGUAACCUACCUUUAUCAGGGGGAUAGCCUCUCGAAAGAGAGAUUAAGCCCGCAUAAAAUCACAGCACAGCAUUGUGUAAUGAUCAAAUAUUUAUAGGAUAAAGAUGGGCAUGCGGAACAUUAGCUAGAUGGCGGGGUAACGGCCCACCAUGGCGACGAUGUUUAGGGGAUCUGAGAGGAUGGCCCCCCACACUGGUACUGAGACACGGACCAGACUCCUACGGGAGGCAGCAGUAAGGAAUAUUGGUCAAUGGGCGGAAGCCUGAACCAGCCAUGCCGCGUGCAGGAGGACGGCCCUACGGGUUGUAAACUGCUUUUAUACGGGAAUAAACCCAGAUACGUGUAUCUGGCUGAAUGUACUGUAAGAAUAAGGAUCGGCUAACUCCGUG